This is a long non-coding RNA of Tetranychus urticae (two-spotted spider mite), 939 nucleotides long. RefSeq lists it as uncharacterized. NCBI's taxonomy places the organism in Eukaryota, Metazoa, Arthropoda, Arachnida, Trombidiformes, Tetranychidae. The record is from RefSeq and is a predicted model, not a curated record.
UGAAAAAGGCGUUUGUUAUAAAAUUUUAAAAUAAAAUUCCUGUUCAUGGCUUUUCAUUUAACUAAUUAAUAAUAGUUGAACUAUUCAAAUCAAUAAGAUGAAAUCUGAUCAAUUUUAUCAAUCUAGAUCAAAAUUAAACCAAUUGAAAGGAACAAGAGAACCACCUUAUUCACAAUUAGUUCCAAGUGAUUAUUCCGUAUUGUGCCAGAGGAAACUGGAUAAACCAUAAAGAAUUAAGUUCUGCUACAUUUUCUUUGUGCAUAGAGAAGCAGCUUUAAACUGGAAUCACAUUCAAAUUUUUAAAGAUUAUGAAAGGUUCCAUAAAGAAAACCAGAUCACAUAAAAACCAGGACAAAGUCUUGGAAAUCUUAAUCAAUCGAUGUACUAGAAGUUAAUUUUCCAUGGUUUAUUGGCACCAAUUUGCAAAACUAAUCACAGCUCAAAAUAUUAUGGUCAACCAUAAAAAGGAUCAAACCUGAUGAAAUGGAUCAACUCAAGUCAAAAUUUCAAUGUGAAUGUAAAGAAAGCUCAAUGGAUGGUAAAUUGAGAAUGAUUUGUACCAAAAGAUGCAUUUCAUUUUGAUGUAUCCAUUUUUACACCUUCAAAUCCGAUAGCUGUUCAGUAUCAUUUUCAAAUUCAUCAUUUUAUUGGUUUAAAGAUAUCUCCAUGUUAACAUUCAUCUUUCCGAUUCCAUAAUAUUUGAACACAACCUUUACCUAUUCCCGUCAUCAUCAUCAUCAUCUUAUUUAUCAUCAUGUUGAUCAUCAUCUUUAUGGUAGGCAACACAUUCUUAACCCCAAACAAAACAAAAGGAAAGAUUGAAUGAAAAAUGGUCUCCUUUAUUUUUGAGAUAUUUUAUAAUAUAAAAUGUUUUAUGUAUUAUGUAUGUACCAUUAUCAUUAUAAUAUCAUGUAUUCACAAUAUUCACUUUUACAACAA